GUUUUCUCUGUUGGUCUUUCCUAUCUCUUAAAUUCUGCAACCUUAAGAGAGUUCAAAUAUAAAUAGCACGGUAUGCUGGAGCUAAGUGGAGAAAUGAUAGGGAUGGGAUUAGAAUUAUUCUAGCACCUCCCAUGUUCCCUCGGCACAGACUUCUUAGUCGUAGGAACUUCUGCUGUUCCUAUUAGGACUGGCUCUUUCUUCAGGAUUGUACAGGUUCAUAUUUUGUUAUGGAUUGCUGUCACACAAGUACAGCCUGUGAAUAUUGCCGAGCCAAACAAGACAGGUGGAGUUUCAAAAUGGCUAAUGGUUCUGGUGAGACGGUCCACAGGUGAAUCAUUCCAAGGCUGAAUCAUAGUAGCAGAAGGGUUUUGCGGAGCAAAGCUGAG
Molecule: long non-coding RNA, 386 nt
Filed under: Cavia porcellus (domestic guinea pig)
Lineage: Eukaryota; Metazoa; Chordata; Mammalia; Rodentia; Caviidae
Description: lncRNA (ENSCPOG00000030393.1)
Source: RNAcentral